Molecule: long non-coding RNA, 1569 nt
Organism: Peromyscus leucopus (white-footed mouse)
Lineage: Eukaryota; Metazoa; Chordata; Mammalia; Rodentia; Cricetidae
Exons: 2
Source: RefSeq, a predicted model, not a curated record
UUCUUUUCUUUUUUUCCUAUUUUGAGACCAGGUCUCAGUUUGUAGCCCAGGCUGGCCCGGUACUUCCUGUGUAGUCUGAGAUAACUUAGAAUCUGCAGUCCCCUUGCUUGUGCCUUACAAGUGCUUGGCUUACAGGUAUGAGUCACCACGCCCAGCUAGAGUGGCCUUUUCAGGGGGCACCUAAAAUCCAUCUAUACCCUUCAUAUCAUUCUUGAUAAAACAAAGUCCUUGCUGCAGUCAAGAGACCCCUUCUUCCUAUCAAUAUCUGGUGCCCACCUCCUCUCGUCUGUUGGGAUGGAGCCACUGAUGAGCCCUGGCUCCAUUUCUGGUGUAUUUUGAAGAGAAAGCCAUUAAGAUUUCACAAGGAAGCUGGGUGGUAGUAGUGACGGUACGCGCCUUUAAUCCCAGCACUUGGGAGGCAGCCGCGGGCAGCUCUUGCAGUUCAAGCCAAGUCUGGUCUACAGAGUGAAUUCUAGGAAGCCAGGGCUACACAGAGCAACCCUGUCUUGAAGAGCAAACACAAAGAUUUGCCAAGGGACUGGAGGAGGAUCGUGAGAGGAACUGCAGAGUCAAGGUCGUCUGUGGUGGUAUUUCUUAUCUAGACCUCAUGUCAUCUUGCUUCCAGGACCACAUCAUGGUGAAGAUGGCCGGGAGGCUCUGGCGGCAAUGGUACUGCCGCUCGGGUCUUUGCCCCCCCCCCCCCCCCCCCCGCGUGCUCUACACUCCUUGUUUCAGGUGAGGAAACACGUCACAGAUGUGAAGUGAGUGACCCAAGGUCGCCCAGCUGGAAAGUCACAACUCCAGCUCCAAAGAAACAUACAUGUGAGCCCACGGACUUCAUCUGCACCUGAGGCAUUGUGGCGCUGAUCCUGGGACCUGACUGCCUGGGUGUAACCUCAACUCUGCCAGCUGCUGACUUAACUCUCUCUGUGCCUGUGUUUCCUCGUCAGGAAAAGGCGAUGAGUUGUAACAAUGUGUCCACCCUGGCUGGCACGGCUGGGAAGACUGAAGGGGAUAAUGUGUAUGACCGACUUGGCACUGUGAAGCUAUCCUCCUUACUGUUCCCACUGCUCUAGGUCUGAGCUCCUCCCCCGGCCAUGGCGGGCAAGUCCAGAGGGUGGAGAGGAAAGCCAGGCUGAGAAUUUCUUGCCUCAUCAUCCUCGAUGUUCAGGAGCAGAGAGGGCACAGGACAGAGGAGGGGCCGCGUGACUGCCCGGGCUGCUGAGCAAUUUACUGGAGAAGCUCAUUUGGCAACUCUGAUUCCAAGUUAAUUAAAGAUGGCCACCGGGGGUCAUUGCCAUGGUGACAAUUAGGCCAGAAAGAAGCCUCAUUAAGUAAUAUAAGUGCAUAGAUGAAAAUGAGAAGUCCCGGGAAGUCACAAAAGAGACUGUCCCUGCUGUACCCCACCCCAGACAUAAUGUCUGUUGACAUUUUCCGUGUGAUAAGUGAAGCACAGGCUAUAGGAUGCAAAGAACGGAGAAGAGGAACAUGGACUUCGGUGUCUGUGCCCUUUUCUACUGUGUGUAUUUUAUCAGAAAAAUGUCGAAUAAACGGCAGUGAAAAUACCAA